UUGAUCCUGGCUCAGAAUCAACGCUGGCGGCGUGCCUAACACAUGCAAGUCGAACGCGAAAGCCCCGCAAGGGGUGAGUAGAGUGGCAAACGGGUGAGUUACGCGUGGGUGACCUGCCUUCGAGUGGGGGAUAACGUCUCGAAAGGGACUCUAAUACCGCAUGACAUCCUGCUUUUUAAGCGGUGGAGAUCAAAGCCGGUGAUCGCAAGACCUGGCGCUCGGAGAGGGGCCCGCGUCCGAUUAGCUAGUUGGUGGGGUAACGGCUCACCAAGGCAACGAUCGGUAGCCGGCCUGAGAGGUCGGACGGCCACACUGGGACUGAGACACGGCCCAGACUCCUACGGGAGGCUGCAGUGGGGAAUUGUUCGCAAUGGGCGCAAGCCUGACGACGCAACGCCGUGUGGAGGAUGAAGACCUUCGGGUCGUAAACUCCUUUCGAUCGAGACGAAUGGCCCCGGGGUGAACAACUCCGGGGAGUGACGGUACCGAGAGAAGAAGCUCCGGCUAACUCCGUGCCAGCAGCCGCGGUAAUAAGGU
RNAcentral lists this ribosomal RNA (537 nucleotides) under uncultured Acidobacteriota bacterium. RNAcentral describes it as "bacterial SSU rRNA". It matches the Rfam family "Bacterial small subunit ribosomal RNA", at positions 13 to 529 of the family's 1533-position model. Lineage: Bacteria; Pseudomonadati; Acidobacteriota. The record is from RNAcentral.